UACGGAGGAGGCAAGCGUUAUCCGGAAUUAUUGGGCGUAAAGCGUCCGUAGGUGGCACAUCAAGUCUGCGGUCAAAGACCGGGGCUUAACCCUGGAAAGGCCGUGGAAACUGAAGUGCUAGAGUGCAGUAGGGGUAGAGGGAAUUCCCGGUGUAGCGGUGAAAUGCGUAGAGCUCGGGAAGAACAUCGGUGGCGAAAGCGCUCUACUGGACUGCAACUGACACUGAGGGACGAAAGCUAGGGGAGCGAAGGGG
RNAcentral lists this ribosomal RNA (253 nucleotides) under uncultured bacterium. RNAcentral's name for it is "partial 16S ribosomal RNA". It matches the Rfam family "Bacterial small subunit ribosomal RNA", at positions 524 to 776 of the family's 1533-position model. The record is from RNAcentral.